RNAcentral lists this ribosomal RNA (253 nucleotides) under uncultured bacterium. RNAcentral's name for it is "partial 16S ribosomal RNA". It matches the Rfam family "Bacterial small subunit ribosomal RNA", at positions 524 to 776 of the family's 1533-position model. The record is from RNAcentral.
UACGAAGGGGGCUAGCGUUGCUCGGAAUGACUGGGCGUAAAGGGCGCGUAGGCGGUUCAUACAGUCAGAUGUGAAAUUCCUGGGCUCAACCUGGGGGCUGCAUUUGAUACGGGUGGACUAGAGUGGGGAAGAGGGUCGUGGAAUUCCCAGUGUAGAGGUGAAAUUCGUAGAUAUUGGGAAGAACACCGGUGGCGAAGGCGGCUCACUGGCUCAUUACUGACGCUCAGGCGCGAUAGCGUGGGGAUCAAACAGG